Sphaeramia orbicularis (orbiculate cardinalfish) is the source of this 938-nucleotide long non-coding RNA. RefSeq lists it as uncharacterized. The record is from RefSeq and is a predicted model, not a curated record. NCBI's taxonomy places the organism in Eukaryota, Metazoa, Chordata, Actinopteri, Kurtiformes, Apogonidae. The transcript is spliced from 4 exons.
UAUACUUCAGUCAUUGUAUUGCUUUGAACAUUAGCAGGUCCUGGGUCUGAAUGAGCUAACGCUUGUCCUUACAAUACCUGGCGUUACACUACAUUAAAGAUGCUCAAAGAAAUACAGCAGGUAACGGCAUAAGGUAUUAAUUUAUCCAGAAAUACCUACUUUGGAUCUGACAAACGUUUGAUAAAUGGAGAGUAAAUUGUAACUAUAUAAACUGUUCUAACACUAGCUAGUUAAGUUUUGAGCUAACUAGCUUAGCCACCUGCUAUCAUGUUAACAGUUUAAUAACCUUCAGGUGCUGCGGCUGUUGAUGCUAAUGAAACAACCAAGAAAACACACAACUGGAGGAAUUUUAGUACUACUAUGGACUGAAGGACAUACUUUUCACAGACUAAACUGCACUGUUGCAGCUGCUGGUCCCUGGUGUGAAAGGAUGAACAUGGAAGAUCUCCAGCUUGGUAUGUAAACAGACAUGCACACCUAAACAGAUACACAGGUUCCAUCUACUUUAUAUGACUUUGUACUGCCACAGUCCAUUCAGAUUUGAAGGAUGGACGUGGUAUGGGACCACAUCCUGAGCCUGACCCUGAGGAGCUGAGUGCCUUUACUGAUCUGUAUGGUUCCCUCAGAUUACUUCUGUUCUGUCAGAUGAACAGUGAAAGGUUUUUCAUUCCAGAGGAGCACGCUCGUUUAGAGACGUUUUUGCACACAUUCAGUUUGGCAAAUGCAGAGAUCGAAAUUCAUCUUAAAUUUAAAUUCAGCCAGAGCAUCCUCCGACAGGAAUUUAGGUAAAACUACUAUAGUUAACUAUAUUCAUGUGCGUAUGACCUCAGUAGUCCAAAAUACUGACUAUAUAUUGUAAAGUUAAUUUUGUUAAUUGUAACCUAACACGGCAAAGCAGUAGAUCUUGAAUAGCAGUAUACUUUGUUUUUGGGUUUUGU